Molecule: non-coding RNA, 1603 nt
Organism: Theobroma cacao (cacao)
Lineage: Eukaryota; Viridiplantae; Streptophyta; Magnoliopsida; Malvales; Malvaceae
Source: RefSeq, a predicted model, not a curated record
AAAGCUUUCUCCUUUCUGCACACCGGGAAAACCAAAAAUGCUAACUAGCAGUUGCAGAGUCCAACUCCCUCCUCAACUGCUCCUUAAAAUCCCACCCUCCGCGCCGCCAACGGCCAAAGACGGCGGCCUCCUCUUCCGCCAGAAACUCCUCUACCUCCAAUCCUUAAACAUCGACCCUCACAAAGCUCUCCGCCUGAAUCCUUCCCUCCGUUCCACCCCUCUUUCCUCUCUCCUUUCCCUCGAACACUCCCUGUCUUCCUUCGGCCUCUCGCGCACUUCCAUCGGCCGUAUCAUCGACAUGUACCCUCUCCUCCUCACCUCCGACCCUCUCCCUCCCAUCAACUUCCUCCUUCAAGAAGUCCCUCUCCCUCUCCCACGCCUUCCUCUCUCCCUCUCCCGCUGCCCUCGCCUCUUGCUCUCCUCCGUCACCACCCAACUCCGCCCAGCGCUCCGUUUCCUCACUUCCCUCGGCCUUGUUUUGAAUUCCCAUACUACCCUUCUCUUGGUUUCCAACGUGGAAAACACCUUGAAACCGAAAAUUAGCUUCCUUCAGUCUCUGGGUUUUGACGAGCCGGAGGUGAACCGGAUGGUGGUGAGGUCACCCGGGUUGCUGACUUUGAGUGUGGAGAAUAAUAUGAGGCCUAAAGUUAAGUUUUUCUUGGAGGAAAUGGAAGGUGACUUGAAGGAAUUGAAAAGGUUUCCUCAGUAUUUUUCGUUUAGUUUAGAAAAAAAGAUUAAGCCAAGGCAUAGAGCUUUGGUGGAACAUGGGUUUAAGUUGCCUUUGUCGAAGAUGUUAAAGGUUAGUGAUGGAGAGUUCAAUGCUAGAUUGAUUGAGAUGCGGUUGCAAAGAGUUCAAAGGAGAUAGACCUUUUUGUUGGACUAGUCCUUUUAAGGGUGUAAUGGACAGAAAGGCACGGUUUGUUGUCACUUGGCAGUCGAGUUGCUUUAGGAAUUUUGGCUUGUGUCAUUAUAAUGCUCUUUACUUGGAGGGCCGCUUGGUAUACAUUGAAGGUGGUGCCUUAGAUGCUUCAUGGGGUUUUAAUACAGGACUUGAUUGUAAUUGAUGUGGAGAUCCCCUUAGUCCAACAGAUUAGUAUUAUUUCUAUUCAUGGUAAGGUGGCCUUUACUCUAAUUUAUCGACUCGAGGGCUUUAGCAUGCUGGAAAUAAGAGAAUGCUGCUAAGAGGAUACUUGGACUUCAGGGAUUAUGAGAACCAAUAUAGCAUGCUGGAAAUAAGAAAUGCUGCUAAGAGGAUACUUGGACUUGCAGGAUUACGAGAACCAAUGUAGUUAAAAUACUUGCAGUAUGUCAAAAUGGUGAAAUCUCUUGAAAGUUCUGUCAACUAUUUUCUGAAGGAAGCAGCACAGAUCAUUCUCAACAUGUGUAAUAGUAGAUCAGGUUUUGCCAGUGGUUAUUAUCCCUCCAACGGAGGAUUAAGGUCCACAGUUUAGCUAUUCUUCUUCUCUUGGCCUUGUUCAUAUGCAAAAAAAAAAAAAUGGUCAUAUUCUUGUAAAAAGCCGAUGAAAUCACGAUGCUUUUGGAAUUUCUUUGAAUUAUGGAAAAACUGAAAUUUAUGAGAGAGGUGCCUUUAUCUUUUGCUCCA